AGGAAUGCAGGAAGAGUCUCGGGAUCAGGAGCCCACAGGCUGGACUCACUCCAGCUUCUGCAGAGUCGGAACGAAGCCUCAGGAGGGAUGGCUCCACAGCAAGAAUCACCCUUUGGUUAACCCAUGACAACCCUUGGCGCAGCCAGGGGCUUGGCUACUGGUUCUGGUGCUCCGUGGCGCAGCUCAGGACCUUAGAGUCUGAUCAUCAGUUCGGAUCAGAGAGCGGCUUGGGCCGCCAGCACCUACCUGAGGCUGUAGCAGCCGUGGCCUCUGCUUUGUCUGGAACCAGCCUGAUGCCAUCAGACACGUCCACCUGGUGAUCAGCCUCCUCCCUUGAGGCCCCAUCAUGCUGUGGUGACAGAGGAUUGCUUCUAA
RNAcentral lists this long non-coding RNA (375 nucleotides) under Mus musculus (house mouse). RNAcentral's name for it is "predicted gene 15347". Lineage: Eukaryota; Metazoa; Chordata; Mammalia; Rodentia; Muridae. The record is from RNAcentral.